GUUGAAGAGUGUGCCUACUGCCCACAUGGGCUAGCGUUUAAAAUGUGCUGAGUAGCUGGAAGGAUCCUGAGUACAUUGGGCCCAGCAGGUCGGAUUAGAAGACGUGAAAUCUAGCUAAAAGAAACGGGCUACUACCAUUGAUCUUCCAGUUGUUGCCUAUUCGGUUACUGUUUACCGAGAGAGAUGAUGUGAAACAUGGGAAAAACAUGAAAAAAACUCAUUUUUUAGAGGAUCAGGAAUCCGCAGGUUUGUUUCACUAUAAAUGCUGCUGAAGUCUAGCUCUGGGACUUUGGCGGUUUUCUUAAGAGACAAGCUCUUUCCCUAGUAAGGGAAAACGAAACUCGUCCUAGCGCGCGAAAUACAGUAACAGCCGAACCGAAAGUAGGAGGCCUGGGAACUUUGGGCAAGGGCAGGACGUAACGCAGGUAAAUGCGCGUGUGCAGAAUGAAAAUGACCAAUGCAGAUCCUACAGGGGUGGCUUGUAGGCAGGGAGGACCCCAAUGAUAGACCAGGACGGAGGGGUGGGGAACACAGAAGGAAAGGGAUAUGAUUUUAGCUGGCGGGACCUGGACACCGUGGGAACAGCCCCGCCCAAGCAAAGGGCAGGCCGCACGGCCCAAAAGAAGGGGCGUGGCUUAGGAGAACCGCGGCUGCUAGCCUUUUACGUGUUGGAUGAAAACGGUGUGAGGGGCGUGGCAAAUGGACGAGUUCUCGGGAGGGGCGGUCCCAGGUGGAAGGCAAGUUUCCAGACUGGAGAACAGGGACAGAGGCUCCAGGGAGGAACUUCUGGAGGGUAGCACGAGUGAAGGCCUUACCACAGGUGUUCAGAUUCCUGCAAGUUACUUUGCAACUGAUGAAGAUUUCAAGCUAAAGAUGAUGGUGAUACAGAGCCUGAAGGUCACUCUUCAAGCAGCUCCCUGCAAUUCUCUGUGUAAAAGGUUCCCAGUUCCCAGCUCAAUACCUUCAAGUUUUCUGCAAUAUUCAUGCAGAGAGGAAUGAGGAAUAAAAGACAAGCGGCCAACAUUCAAGAUCACUGUAGUCA
RNAcentral lists this long non-coding RNA (1042 nucleotides) under Fukomys damarensis (Damara mole-rat). RNAcentral describes it as "lncRNA (ENSFDAG00000024960.1)". Lineage: Eukaryota; Metazoa; Chordata; Mammalia; Rodentia; Bathyergidae. The record is from RNAcentral.